AUGCCCUCCCCCACCUUAUUCAUUAGUUUACAUUCUGGGAGAUAAUAAUUGGAGCUAGCUGCCACUUCCAACAGGAAAGUAAAGAGCAAGACCCACCACCAUGCCCCAGACCCUUUCGUAUGAUCUCAUUGAAUCCUCACAAAAGGUGGUGGGGGGGGAAAAAUAAAAUAAAGUAAAAAGGUGGUGGUACAAUGAUUCCCAUUUAGAGACAGGAGGCCCAAGGGUCUGAGAAGUUCAGUAAGCUGCUCUGGUCUCAGAACUUCCAAGUCAAACUUCAAUGCAAAAGUCACCUGGAAGGCUUGUUCAGACAGCCUAGCUGGGCUACACUCCCACUUGCCAAGUCAGUGGGUCUAGGUGGAGACUGAGAAUUUUUUCUAACACGUCCUCAGAUGAUGGCAGUGAUGCUGGCCCAGGGACCAACUUUUGAGAAUCACUUUUUAUUGCCUGAGCAGCAAUAUAGAUCCGGCAUUCAAACCAGGUGGGCAGUCUUCUACACGUCCUUGCCUAUAGCCUUUCCUACCCAUGCCAACAUCAACCUGCAGGCAGCGCAGCCCUUGUGUCCUUCCUCUGCUGGAAAACCUCCUGGGGCUCUGCUGCAGCCCAUCACUCCUCACAUUACUAUCUCUGUACAGAGCUCGCUUCCAUCUGCACUGUCUUAUCUUCUAGUCUCCAGAAGAAUAAACACAUGAUGGAACUAAGUGACUUCAACAGGAAGCCUAACCUUCCCUCUCUGAGUUCUAUUUUUGUUUUACUCCCCAGGCAUUGAGAACAGUUCUCCAUUAUAACACUGAUCACUCCUUCAAAAUUUUGCUUCUUGCCCAGCCAGCAUGGCUCAGUGGUUGAACAUCAACCUAUGAACCAGAGGUCACGAUUUGAUUCCUGGUCAGAGCAUGUGCCUAGAUUUUGGACUGAUCCCCGGUGAGUGGUGUGCAGGCCAAUCAAUGAUUCUCUCUCAUCACUGAUGUUUCUAUCUCUCUCUCCCUCUCUGAAAUCAAUUAAAAAA
Long non-coding RNA from Myotis myotis, 1003 nucleotides. RefSeq lists it as uncharacterized. The transcript has 2 exons. Lineage: Eukaryota; Metazoa; Chordata; Mammalia; Chiroptera; Vespertilionidae. The record is from RefSeq and is a predicted model, not a curated record.